UACGUAGGGUGCGAGCGUUGUCCGGAAUUAUUGGGCGUAAAGGGCUCGUAGGCGGUUUGUCGCGUCGGGAGUGAAAACCCAGGGCUUAACCCUGGGCUGGCUUCCGAUACGGGCAGACUAGAGGUAUGCAGGGGAGAACGGAAUUCCUGGUGUAGCGGUGAAAUGCGCAGAUAUCAGGAGGAACACCGAUGGCGAAGGCAGAUCUCUGGGCCGUAACUGACGCUGAGGAGCGAAAGCGUGGGGAGCGAACAGG
This 253-nucleotide ribosomal RNA is filed under the name uncultured bacterium. RNAcentral describes it as "partial 16S ribosomal RNA". It matches the Rfam family "Bacterial small subunit ribosomal RNA", at positions 524 to 776 of the family's 1533-position model. The record is from RNAcentral.